RNAcentral lists this long non-coding RNA (843 nucleotides) under Lynx pardinus (Iberian lynx). Lineage: Eukaryota; Metazoa; Chordata; Mammalia; Carnivora; Felidae. The record is from RNAcentral.
GACAGCGGCAGCACGCGCGCGCGCGCUCGAGCGCGCGCGUGUGUGUGCGCGAGAGCGCGUGUGUGCAUUAAAGAGACAGGGGUUUAUUUCCAACAGGUCUUCCUUAAUUUCCCGGGAACGUCUGUGGAAAGGCCAGAGGGACCUGCAGACUCUAGGGUGCAUGCCUUGGCUCUGGGCGCCUGAGCAGCACGGCGUUGACCCAGGGUAGUCACCCCACCACCGUGGUCUCCCCGCUGCUCCUGCGAACCAGUGGCUGUCUCUCCAAUCCCCAUUUUCUUCCCCCGGGUAACAGCACAGGAAUAGUUGUGUCCUGCCUGUAAGAAACAUUUUUCUUUCCAUUCCUCUAUGCUCUAGCAGUUGCUCUGGAGUGGGAGGGGGUGUGUCCAUCCCUGGGACCUGGCUCGAGGACCUCCCGCGGCGCCGGGAGCACGUUCCCAGGGACUGGAACUCUCGGGACUGCCCAUGCUUUGUCCUCUGGCCCGCGCGGCCGGUGGGUGAGGUGGACGCCUCGGCGCCUUCCUCGCCCCGGGCCCCGGUACUCCCCUCUGGGGACUGGAACGUCCCCGAGUCUGGCUCCUCGUUCUUUAUUCCUUGGCCUCUGUCUCCGCCACCCUGGGGGGCCUAGACUCCGUGCUUCCAGUUGGCAAUCACUUGCCAGGGUGCUCAGAUCCCAGCACCCACCCCCCCCGCCCCCGCUCGGCCUUAGGGGUGCCCUCUGGCCUGGGCCUCUUCCCUCGCCCUUGCUCCCUCUCUCCAGGCUACCCCGGCCGCGGGAGGCCCCAGAGCUGCCUUUCCGGACCCGUAACCCUCCAAACUUGGGCUGGACUCCGUUUUGCCGCGCGC